Molecule: long non-coding RNA, 5471 nt
Organism: Anolis carolinensis (green anole)
Lineage: Eukaryota; Metazoa; Chordata; Lepidosauria; Squamata; Anolidae
Exons: 2
Source: RefSeq, a predicted model, not a curated record
AAUAGUAAACUCCAAAACUACAACCGUUUUCAACUCAAGAGAGUCUUCAUCAGGUGGAAUGUAGUCUAUUAUUUGAGUUGUUUUUCUACUACUUCCCAGUAAAGAACCGCUGUGAUUUGAAUCCUGUAAGAGUGAUUUGCAGGAUUUAAAGGUGUAACCAAUGAGUAAAUCCAGAAACAUUAGUGAUUGAAAGUGGAGCUCUAAACUGAACAAUUAAAACACAUACAUAAUAAAAUGAAUUCAAAUCCUGGUAUUUCUGAAAUGAAUUUAAGACCAGGGAAUGAACCAUUUGAUUUAGAAAAUAUGAUUACAUAAGUUGCAAAAAAUGAAAUGAAAUGAAAUCCAAAUACUACUAAUAAUUCUAAAAUAGUAAAAUAAGUUGAUCGUCUAGCAAAAGAGAGAUGAAUGUGGAAGUGUUACAAGCUGUAAUAAUAAUGAUGAUGAUGAUGUGAGGAUUUCAAUUCUCAAAAAUGGCAGAAAAGAAUUAGUAAGAGUUAGGAAAGUAUGCAGGAUAUGAUUUAGUGGUUUAUACUGCCCUAAGUAUUAAUCUAGACUAGUUAUUGGAAGAUCAAUACUAUAACUGAAAAUAAAUGGUAACCAAAAUAUGUUCGGCAUAAUUUGACAAGAUCACAGGCAUCACCAGUGACCCUUUUUUGUUUAAGUGUCCUUACAUGAUAUUUACAAUGCUGCAGGACAUGUUGAAGCUUUAGUGUUUGUGAGACACUAACCACCUCAUCACAGGGAGCGAUUUUAGUGUCUGGAGAACUGAUGGGCUCACUGUCCAUUAGACGACACAUGGGAGCUUCCUGUGGAAGGCCUGCCCUUAAAUGAGGUGUAAGCGUUGCAAGAUGUGUUCCCAGCAACAUGGGAGACUUCUCAUGUUGUGCUGCCUCCAAUGGAGGCAACACAGGGCUUCCUCACAAUGGCGAUGCUUUCCCCAUAUAAUGGGGAAAGUUCCACAGAAAGGGAGUUGUGCACGGGGCCACAGAUUUGCCCCUCUUCUUCCUUUUUCCUCCCCAGAAUCCUGAUGAAGCAGGAUGCUUCGCCAGGGCUUUAUGAUGAGGUCAUAUAAGUUGGACCAAUAUAAGUCAGCAUGAGCAGCUUUUGAAGCACCAUGCUGCAAUCUGUAGUAUUCUCCCAACCAGAAGAAAGGCGUGGGUAAAUCCCAAUUGUAGUGGAUUGCUUCUCCUGGCCAUCCCGAGAAUGAGAAUCAUAGAAUCAUAGAAUAGUAGAGUUGGAAGAGACCUCAUGGGUCAUCCAGUCCAACGCCCUGCCAAGAAGCAGGAAAUUGCGUUCAAAGCACCCCUGACAGAUGGCCAUCCAGCCUCUGCUUAAAAGCCUCCAAAGAAGGAGCCUCCACCACUGUCCGGGGGAGAGAGUUCCACUGUGAGGGUUCAUUCUGGGAUGGCAGGAAGAGCAAUCCACAUCCUUCCUCAAUCAAACAAACAAAUGAAAAUUAGUUGACAAGUGAUUUGGUUCACAGAAUUUAUGUUAGUUAAAGCUUGAUAAUAAAAGUGUUGGAGAAGUAGGGAGGGUCUUGAUGGCUCAACUGAAAAAGAAUCUUGGAUCCUGCCAUUCUGGAUAGAGCAUGGGGAUAAACCCAAUUGCUUCUACUGUCAUCCCUGAAGGAACCUUCACGGUAAGUACAAUGUCUCUGUUUCCAUAGGUUCCCCUCCUUGUCUCAGAUGGGCCUCCUAACACCCAAUCCUUGAAGUCACAGAGCUAUUAUUAUGUCAUUAUGUUUUAUUUAUACCCGUUUUUCUCUCCACAAGGAGACAGAACUUCCAGGACUUGUUUUUUGUGCGCUGUCCAAGUGCCCAGAGAGUUGGGAGUGUGUUGUCAGAAAUAUUAAAUAUUAACUGAGUAUUUUUGAUUACAAAAGUGUAGGCCAAAGCCCAUUAGUGUUAGUGGAUGAAAGUUAACAUUACUCUGAGGAGAGUGAGUAGGCCGAAGCCUGUUGGUGGCAGUUUUUGCCUCAGUGACAGAACUCCUCAGUCAGUUUGAGAUAAACGUCAGUCUGACGUAAACCUGUUUGAGAGACGCCUCAUGUUUUAAAUCGCCUGUGUUUGAAGGCUGUGGCGUGCUAAACAGUACAGCUAUAUUAUUUUACUACAAAGAAAAGCCUCCUUUGGAAGAUAUAACAUUGGUCAGUGUGUUUUUGUUCCUUUUCAUCACUUUGGGCAACUGGUGCUGGAUUGUGUCGCUUCUGAAGAGUUGCUCUGCUAUACAUUUAUGAGGGAGAGCCUUAUUAUUAUUUAAGCCCACUCGCCCAACAAAACCUUCAUGGUAAGUACAAUUUCUCAGUUUCCAUAAGUUCCCCUCCUUGUCUCAGAUGGGCCUCCUCACAGCCAAUUCUUGAAGUCACAGAGCUAUCAUUAUGUUGUUAUGUUUAUUUAUACCCGUUUUUUUCUCUCUACAAGGAGACUGGGAACUUCCAGGGCUUUUUUUUGCCAUGUCCAAGUGCCCAGAGAGUUGGGAGUGUGUCCACUCCUGAAGGAGCUGAGGGACAGUCCAAAUGGUCUGGGAGAGAGAGCCUGGUCCAAGGCUGCCCAUAGUACCACUCCCUGCCCAGGCCUCUAAUCAAAACAAAUGGAGGCUUCCCCUAAGCCUGGUAGUCCUGGGAUGCAUGCCACCAGGGCUUCUUCACCAGAGCUUUUCUAGAUCACUGCUUAGUAAAGUACAGAUCCUGUCUCCAAAUGAAGUCCCCUUAGCUCAAUGUUGGGGUCACAUAAAAUUUGGCUGCAACAUAAAGUUUUUGAAGGCCACCCAUUUACACUAAUCUGUUAGCAACAACAUGUAUUUCCAGUGGACUGCAGAAAUUGCCUCAGUUUUACUCCAUAAAGGAAAAUCACCCAAUUUAGCAAACCUUGCAAAUGCUGAUUUAUUAACAGUUAAUGUUUAAUUUGUAUGCCUUUUUAUAGACUUAUAUACCUGGGGUCACAAAAAAAUUUCUCAGGUGAAAAGGGAUUGCAAGUGGAGUGGAAAGUUUAAGAUGCCCUAUUGAACAUCUUUGCACAAGUAGGGUUCCCUAAGGAAAUUAUUACUGACCUUUUCAGACCAUGCGGCAUUAAACAUCUGACCACCACUCCAUACCAUUCCACAGAUGAAUGGUACCCUCAACCACAUGAUCAAAACCCAUAUGCAGAGGAACCCGAACAAUGGAUCAGCAGCUACAAUAUUUCCUGUUUGUAUAUCGAGAGGUUCCACAGGAAAGCACUGGCUUCAGUCCCUUUGAGGAGUUGCUGUUUAGAAGGAAGCCCAAAGGCCUGAUGGACAUUUUAAGCCAGAUAAGCUUUAUAAAGCCAGGUUAGCUUUAUUGUGAGGAAGUCAGGGAUGCUGCUGCCCCCGCCCCUACAAAGAAAUAUUGGGAUAGGGAGGAAUGAGCUAGUUAGUACCAAAUAGUGGGCGCUUUGGGGAAGAGCAAUGGACCUAAACCAGCCCCUCUCCGAAGGCAUCUCUCUCUUCCUCUCUCUGACUGUUCUCCUUUGCAAAACUCAGAAAGGUUUGUUUUCCAUGCUACCCCAGGAGUGCUGUUAAAAGUAGCUCCUGCCGGAUAUCCUCCUCCUCCUUCCUAGACUCAAGAUAGUUUCCAUGGCUGCUUUCAUAUUUCCAGGUUUGGCUAUCAUUUCUCUGAGGAUCCCUAAAAUGGACCUAUAUCAGCCCCUCUCCCAAGGCACCUCUCUCCUCCUACCUCUGAUUGUGUUUUCCUUUCUCCUUUGUGGAAUCUCAGAAAGGUUUGUUUUCCCUGUUACCUCAGUAGAGCUGUUAAAGUGGCUCCUGAAUGUCCUCUUGCCAGAUAUCUCUAUUCUUUCUUUUCAGUUUCAAGAUGACUUCCAUGGCUGCUUUCAUACUUCCAGGUAUGGCUAUUUCUCUGACUAUUUCUCUGACUAUUUCUCUUCACGGUGCAUUUGCCUCACAUUUGUGUGUGUAACCCUGCAACUUUCUGUUAGAAAAGUAAAAGCUCAGGCAGCUUUUAGACACCCAGUGCUGCUCAUAGUUGAUAAAUUGUGUGUAACCAUAUUUAAAAAUCCUUUUUCAAAAAUGUGCUUUAACACAUUUCCUGGUAUUUUACAUUAAUUAAUCUUUAAGCUUGGAUCUUCUUAAAUUUGGGAAAACAUUUCAGGUAGAAACUUUUCCAUUAUUUCAAUUUAUUAGAGAGCCAGCAUUAUGUACAAGUUUGAGUGUUGGACUAUGCUUCUCGUGACCAGGGUUCGAAUCCCUGUUCAGCCAAGAAAACCACAGGAUGAACUUGUGCAAGUCACACACUCUCAGCCUCAGAGGAGGGCAAAUGCAAACCCUUGCUAAACUAGCCUGUCAGGAAAAUCCUGCAGGAUCACUUUAUGGUUUCAAAUGACAAAGGCACAUACCGUGCCCAUUUUAUCAUACAGUCUUUUAUGUCCAUUUUAUCAUACAGUCUUUUUAUCCUUUCUAAAAAUUCUUCAUCUAGUGAUAUUGAAAAGGGAGUAUUGAUGUAUAAUUUGAAUUUAUAUUUCUUCCAGAUUUUCAGAUUUACUCAUGUAAUUUUUGCCUUUCCAUUCCAUAGAUACCAAUCAAAACUCAGGUAAUUUUCUUCUAGAUUUAAAAGUCUCUCAUGUCAAACAGUAUCUAAGACUAAAAAACAUGCUGGAAGUAUAUUUUCAGAUCUGGUAAUGUGAGACUGCCUUGUUAUCUGUUGUCCUAAAGAAGUUCAAAUCUAAUUCUUGGCCUUUUUCCUUGCUAUAUAAACCUAGCUCCACAGUUGGAAUGGCUUAUCAUUUCUUAUGGUUGGAAUAUUUUGAAAUUAGCAUAGCAUUUUAGGCAAGAUUUUAAUUUUAAUGGCUGGAAUUCUUCUCAUUUUUGAAAAUCCAUGUUUAUGUCUUUCCAAGUCUGUUGAAAAAUGAAGUCUCCCAGAAGUUUUCCUCUGCUUACAUGUUGUGGCUUUUUUCUUCUCUUGGAGAUACUGUGUCCCAUGAAGACACUGGGGAAGAAGAUCGGAAGAAGCACCCAUCACCUUCAGCAAGUGUUCUAACAGCACCACCUCUGAGCCUGAAGAAUGAGGACUCAAUUCUAGCAGAGCCUUUUGAAACUUGGGCAAGGAGCUAAUGGCAGGAGCAUUGCACUUCUUAGAAGAGGAGGGGGUGUGGGUCAAGCUUUUGGAGGAAGUGCUCGAGUGGCCACAUUGCUGUUGUCUUUCUUUCACAGUGCACACUGACCAUGGGAGGAAAGUCUCCAAGUAUGAGUACCCUUUGGAGCAAGAAGUCAGGCAGUUCCUCCCAGGCAGAGAGGCAACUUAUUUUCACUCUUUAGGUGCAAGUUCAGUCUUGCUGUAGUCCGUUCAGAUGCCACACAAGCUUCUAUAUACUGUGAAGAGACAGGGUGGCCAGGUCAACUUCAUAGCUGUCAUGGGGCACCUUCUCACAGGGUUGCAAGGGGCAAAAUCUUGUUCCUGUAACGGAGAUGGAAUAAAUUCAAACUAUCAAUAAGUACAUAAA